Long non-coding RNA from Dermacentor albipictus, 2056 nucleotides. RefSeq lists it as uncharacterized. Lineage: Eukaryota; Metazoa; Arthropoda; Arachnida; Ixodida; Ixodidae. The record is from RefSeq and is a predicted model, not a curated record.
UUCAAUCAUUCGUGGCCUACGCCACACCGCGUUCUUUCGCCCCCCGACAGUUCCGCGCAUCGUUCACUGCCGGGCGACAAACAGCCGGGAAAGACGUGCACGGAAGUAUGGAACCGAUUCGCGACGCAGUCAACUCGCAUUCCUUGCGGUCGCGUUCGCUCGCCUGUGUGUAGUUAUAGUAAUGUGUGUGUAGUUAGUAAGUAGUUAGUGGUGUAGUAAUCACAGCAGAGAAAACAUUCGCGACGACAGCGCGACCUUCGUCAUCCGGCCUGCCGAAGCUGGAAGCUGAACCUGCGGUCAUGUCCCGGCUGGUCGCGUCCAGAACUGCGGCGCCACAGUGCGAUCCAGCCCGCACGUAGGCUUCAAGACACUGCACGCAACUACGUUCCCGGCACGCUGUCGCCGCAGGUCCGAGAUACGACGAACGCGUCGUUGAGGGGGCGUUGGGCCCUUGAGCCAAACCGGGGCCGCUGGGCAGAAAGUCUUUCACGGGACUAUCGUCCGGCCAGUCGGGAAGCAUGCCUGCUGCCAUGGAAGAACCGAGGCUACAACUAAGGUUUUGACCCCGAGCAGGAGAGACAUCCUUGCCUUGCCAUCAGCUGGUCCCCGCAUUACACCUGCCAAGUCGUCGCCGUCGAUGACAUGUGCUACGCGCGCGUUCCGGGAGUCCCCUCGGUCCUUGGCCGCGCAGCGCCGGGCCGACCGUCCCAGCUUUAGCGGCGGCCAGCCUCCACCCGCGGUUGCCAGCGACAGGCGCCGUGCAUCCGACCGAGCUGCCGCCACGCGGCAGAGCACGGCGCGACGCUGGGGCCAGCAGAUCGUGCGCCGGCGUGCGCUACUGAACGGUGCGGCGUCGGCCAUUGCGAGGAUGCUGCAGCACGCGUUCCAGUCUUCGAUGGCAUGACGGCGUCUAUCUCCGUAGUUCUAGAAUUCCAGUUUCCCGAUGUUCCUUGUUUGGUGUAACCGGUAGGACGUCCAAAAGCAUUGUCCUCCUCCAUUCUGUGAUCUGCCGUUGAGAUACCUGCUGCCAAAAGGUUCCUCCAAGAUGUGAUUCCAAGGUGGAUGCACACGGCGACCCACUUCAUCCCUUUCAACAUCCUCAGCUGUUGCGUCCACUUUUCUCGCUCUUUCUUUUUUUCUCCCCAAAUUGCCCAGCAUUUGCUCCACCGCAUCACAGUGCUGGUUUUUGUGGUCAGCUGUGGCGACAACCCCCUCAACUCACGCCGUCCAAGAACACCGCCGGGAUCCCAGCAACGGCGUUCGACCCGCAUUUGAUUGCUUUUUUAGGCUUGUAAUAAACUUGCAUCGUUCAUUGUCAGUCUACUUCACAUGUUCUGUUCAUACUCUGCAAUAUACAGAUGCUCCUUCCUCGUAAACACUAUGCAUACUUAAUUUUAUCGCAGUUCUGUUCGAUUACCUAGCAACGGCAUUCGACCCGCAUUUGAUUGCUUUUUUUGGGCUUGUAAUAAACUUGCAUCGUUCAUUGUCAGUCUACUUCACAUGUUCUGUUCAUACUCUGCAAUAUACAGAUGCUCCUUCCUUGUAAACGCUAUGCACACUUAAUUUUAUCGCAGUUCUGUUCGAUUACUCUUCUUUUUUUUUUGUCUUGUUAUCUUAGAACACAAAGUCCGCAACGCCAUCGAUUUUAAGUUUUCGGUUCAGCUUGCAUCGCUUUCAUGAAGGAAUGAGUAAAAUAUGCACUUUUCAGGAGCGAACUCUUUUCAGCUCAUGUUUUACACUGGUUGCUGGAGAAUAACAUUUGUAUUGUUGUGUUCAUUUGCCAACGUAUUAUUAAUGUGUUGUGAUUGUGUGUUGAUUUGUUGUUGUUGGACUUCCAUGUGCGAUAUGGGUACAAUAAAUGUGCUGAGAGCAUAUACAAAAAGAAAAGGGCUGGGGAUUGUGUAGAUAGUUUAUGCGUCUCGAAUUAGAUCGGUAGACGAUCGCACGCAUUGUGCGGACGUGUGUUCGGCUUCUACAGAAGACAGAUUCUCUUUCUACCAGUGGAAAUUCGAUUUUAGUUCGCUCGAAAUUUCAAUUAAAACUGUUCUAUUCUUUA